RNAcentral lists this ribosomal RNA (1459 nucleotides) under uncultured organism. RNAcentral's name for it is "partial 16S ribosomal RNA". It matches the Rfam family "Bacterial small subunit ribosomal RNA". The record is from RNAcentral.
UUGAUCCUGGCUCAGGAUGAACGCUAGCGGCAGGCCUAACACAUGCAAGUCGAGGGGUAACGAUGGAGCUUGCUCCAGGCGACGACCGGCGCACGGGUGAGUAACGCGUUUGCAACCUACCUCUAACUGGAAGAUAGCCCGAAGAAAUUCGGAUUAAUAUUCCAUAACACUAUGAUUUGGCAUCUUUUUAUAGUUAAAGUUUCGACGGUUAGAGAUGGGCAUGCGUGACAUUAGCUAGUUGGUGAGGUAACGGCUCACCAAGGCCACGAUGUCUAGGGGGUCUGAGAGGAUGGUCCCCCACACUGGUACUGAGACACGGACCAGACUCCUACGGGAGGCAGCAGUGAGGAAUAUUGGUCAAUGGGCGAAAGCCUGAACCAGCCAUGCCGCGUGAAGGAUGACGGCCCUACGGGUUGUAAACUUCUUUUGUUUGAGAAGAAACCUCCCUACGUGUAGGGGGCUGACGGUAUCGAACGAAUAAGCAUCGGCUAACUCCGUGCCAGCAGCCGCGGUAAUACGGAGGAUGCAAGCGUUAUCCGGAUUCAUUGGGUUUAAAGGGUACGCAGGCGGAAAACUAAGUCAGUGGUGAAAUCCUGCAGCUUAACUGUAGAACUGUCAUUGAUACUGGUUUUCUUGGAUUCAGUUGAGGUAGGCGGAAUGUGUAAUGUAGCGGUGAAAUGCUUAGAUAUUACACAGAACACCGAUUGCGAAGGCAGCUUACUAAACUGCGAUUGACGCUGAGGUACGAAAGCGUGGGUAGCAAACAGGAUUAGAUACCCUGGUAGUCCACGCCGUAAACUAUGAUCACUCGUUGUUGACAACACAUCGUCAGCGACUGAGCGAAAGCAUUAAGUGAUCCGCCUGGGGAGUACGGCCGCAAGGCUAAAACUCAAAGGAAUUGACGGGUCCCCGCACAAGCGGUGGAGGAUGUGGUUUAAUUCGACGCAACGCGAAGAACCUUACCCGGGCUUAAACUGCAGGGUAAACCCCCUGAAAGGGGGGCUGCUUCGGCGAUCCUGUAGAGGUGCUGCAUGGCUGUCGUCAGCUCGUGUCGUGAGAUGUUGGGUUAAGUCCCGCAACGAGCGCAACCCUUGCCUUUAGUUACCAGCGCGUCAUGGCGGGAACUCUAGAGGGACUGCCGUCGUAAGGCGGAGGAAGGUGGGGACGAGGUCAAGUCAUCAUGGCCCUUAUGUCCGGGGCUACACACGUCCUACAAUGGCCGGUACAGUGGGCAGCGACACCGCGAGGUGAAGCAAAUCCCUUAAAGCCGGUCCCAGUUCGGAUUGCAGUCUGCAACUCGACUGCAUGAAGGUGGAAUCGCUAGUAAUCGCGGAUCAGCAUGCCGCGGUGAAUACGUUCACCGGGGAUUGUACACACCGCCCGUCACAUCACGAAAGUCGGUUGUACCGGAAGUCGCCGAGCUAACCCGCAAGGGGGGCAGGUGCCCAUGGUAUGGCCA